UUAUCCAGAAAGGGAAUAUGAGUGAGUCAAUUAACAAUGUAUUAUUUUAAGACACUCUGAUCCAGCAAAGUGUAAAAAAUCUAAAUUAAGCAAGAAUGAUAUGGAAGAGGAUCUGUUCAGAACAAACAGGAAUAUUCUGAAGAAAGCAAGAAAAUUUUCAGAAGAAAUAAGCCAUCCGGACCACCAUAGCCUUAAACAGAAAGAAGAGAAACACGCGAUUAUACUUUGAUGUGGUCCUUACCCCAUCACUCAGGAGCAAAACUCAAAAGCACUUCCCAAGGGGAUACAGCGCAGAGAAACCAUCUAGUGAGUGCACUUUGCGACGCCCCUUCCAGGUUAUCUGCUAUUAGGAACUCGGCUGCCCAGAAGGAAGUGUCUUUUACGAUCACAGCAACCUGCCAGAUGAAGCUCCUGUGAACGACUUCUAUUUGUGCAGCUGAGAGAUGAAUAUAUUUGUUUGUAUUUAGCCAGAGGGCCAGCGACAUGAUGCCAAGAGGCCCACAGUCAGGCAGGCCAAACCAGCAGUAAUACGUGUAAAGCAGGAACCGGCCAGAAAAGGAUACUAAGAAAUAGACCAUUCUUGGGAAAUCCCACAUGGUUUCGCCGCCUCCAAUGACGUCACUUCUGAUUCCUUCGCCUCCGAUGACGUCACUUCUGGUGCUGGCAAAUAAAGACUCCGUCUUUACUACCAAGAAUCAGUUCUGUUUUAGACUUUGAACUGUAAAGACCUUCUCUAAAACCUCUUGCAGCCAUGAUAUAAUAAACGGGUG
Polypterus senegalus (gray bichir) is the source of this 770-nucleotide long non-coding RNA. RefSeq lists it as uncharacterized. The transcript is spliced from 5 exons. Lineage: Eukaryota; Metazoa; Chordata; Cladistia; Polypteriformes; Polypteridae. The record is from RefSeq and is a predicted model, not a curated record.